Oryza sativa Indica Group (long-grained rice) is the source of this 189-nucleotide microRNA precursor. It matches the Rfam family "MIR812 microRNA precursor family". The record is from Rfam. Lineage: Eukaryota; Viridiplantae; Streptophyta; Magnoliopsida; Poales; Poaceae.
UUCAAGUGCAACUAUAAAUUUCCCUGUCCAAUUUUAAUCAUCCAUCUUAUUUAAAAAAAUUUUAUAAUUAAUAUUAUUAUUAUUAUGAGAUGAUAAAAUAUGAAUAGUAUUUUAUAUGCGACUUAUGUUAAAAAAAUUAAAUAAGAGAACGGUCAAAGUUGUGCACGGAAAAUUAUAUCUGUACUUGAA